GUGCAAUGCGCGAAAGCGCGACACGGGAAACCUGAGUGCCUUGACAUUAGUCAAGGCUUUUAUUAAGCCUAAAAAGCUUAAGGAAUAAGAGCUGGGUAAGACGGGUGCCAGCCGCCGCGGUAACACCCGCAGCUCGAGUGGUGGUCACUUUUAUUGAGCCUAAAGCGUUCGUAGCCGGCUUCGUAAAUCUUCAGACAAAUUCUUCUGCUUAACAGAAGAUCCUCUGGAGAGACUGCGGAGCUUGGGACCGGGUGAGGUUGAAGGUACUUCUGGGGUAGGGGUAAAAUCCUGUAAUCCUAGAAGGACGACCGGUGGCGAAGGCGUUCAACUAGAACGGAUCCGACGGUGAGGAACGAAGGCUAGGGGAGCAAACCGG
RNAcentral lists this ribosomal RNA (376 nucleotides) under uncultured archaeon. Its description in RNAcentral is "bacterial SSU rRNA". It matches the Rfam family "Archaeal small subunit ribosomal RNA", at positions 350 to 727 of the family's 1478-position model. The record is from RNAcentral.